This 280-nucleotide ribosomal RNA is filed under the name uncultured bacterium. RNAcentral describes it as "partial 16S ribosomal RNA". It matches the Rfam family "Bacterial small subunit ribosomal RNA", at positions 773 to 1060 of the family's 1533-position model. The record is from RNAcentral.
GUGGAUUAGAUACCCUGGUAGUCCACGCCGUAAACGAUGGAUACUAGCUGUUGGGAGUAAUCUCAGUGGCUAAGCGAAAGUGAUAAGUAUCCCACCUGGGGAGUACGUUCGCAAGAAUGAAACUCAAAGGAAUUGACGGGGGCCCGCACAAGCGGUGGAGCAUGUGGUUUAAUUCGAUGAUACGCGAGGAACCUUACCAAGGCUUAAAUGUAGAUUGACAGGUUUGGAAACAGACUUUUCUUCGGACAAUUUACAAGGUGCUGCACGGCCGUCGACAACU